This 3429-nucleotide long non-coding RNA is filed under the name Drosophila guanche. Lineage: Eukaryota; Metazoa; Arthropoda; Insecta; Diptera; Drosophilidae. The record is from RNAcentral.
CCCGCCAUAAAUUGGCAUUCCAAUUUUUUCGAAAGUAUCGCCUAUCUGAUUUAUGAACAUACAUAUACAUAUGCAUGGAUUUAAAUUUCCAAACAUCGAUAAUCGAUUUCUCAGCACCAAUGCGUAUGUGUGUACACUGUACACAUUAGAUUAUUACAAUUCUUUAUUUAACUGGUUUAAAUAUUUCCUGAUCUGAUGCUGUCCAAAAUAAGAACUUUAAAGAAACUCUGUUUUAUAAGUGGUUUGAGUUUCCAUUCGGGCCAUUACAUUCGUCCAUACUCCUUAAUGCGUUCAAAAUUAUGUUUCAACCACGGAAAUUCUUUUAAUCAAAAUUCAAUUGAGCUCAAAGCUUGUACAAUUUAUCUUCCGGAGAGAUUUAUGAGUACAAAAAUAAGCAUACAGCAAGAUCAAGAUAGUUUUUUUAUUAAUCUUGACGGAAUGAAGGCAGAGUUGGGCUAUUUUAUUCGAGACGGAGUUAUGCAUAUUGAUCACACCAAAGUUCCCAAGGAGCUUGGUGGUCAUGGUAUUGGCAAGCUGUUGGCUAAGGUUGGUCGUUUUUAUAUUGCUUUGUUACUAUUUCAUUAAAUAGCGUGCCAGUGUACGGGACCUGGAAACGACUUCUUCUAGCUUCUACAUAUGUACAUACUUACAUAUGUACCUUCAUAUGUACAUAGCUGGUAAGGCAAAAGGGAAGACCCCAGCUGACUUAAACCCAUGCUUUUUUACUGCUUUUUAUUUGCCUGAAUCUAAAACUAAACUUAAAAGAUACAUACAUGGUUGUUUUUGGAUUAAUUGAAUAUUCACCUACCAAUUUUUUAUUUAAAAAUAUUUGUAUUGUUAAGCAAUGUUUCCCGUUGGAUUUAUUUAGACUGAAUUUCAAUACUACUUGUGUAACCUCUGAAUAAGGGGGAGGUGUGUCGCAUACAUACAUACAUAUGUAAAUGUUUAUGGACGUUUUUUGUAUGCCCGAUACUCGAAGGGUAAAUAGGGUAUACCAAAUGUUACAUCCAGGUUUCUGUGAUAUGACACUGAUACAAGUGCCCCGCCUCUACAAAAGGACGAAAAUCUGUCACAUCCACACUUUUAGAUGCACAUACAUACAUAUGUCUCACGAGAAGGGACGUUCUCGUUUUAUGAUUAUUUAAAUCUGCAUAACCUGUCCAUUGAAAAUGGUAAAAAGUGGCAAAUUUUGAAAUUGAUGGGUUGUAUCGAGUCUAAAUUAAAAUUGCCUUUGAAGAUUUUGACUUUAAUACCCUUGUUUUCGCGCUUUCAACGUCUGCUGAUACAGAGGUGCUUUGCAUUAUAAGAAAGUGCGAAUAACAUUAAACAACUUGCAGCUUGAACUUAGAAAUAUUAACGGGGAGGAACGUGUGAGACGCUUCAUACGCGUCACAACUUCUAUACACGCUACUUAGUUAAAUAGCUGCACAUUAUUUUAUUUCUCGAAUUUUACAUUUUACAUUAAUCUUACAUCUGUUACCUACAUCUACAUCACUUCUCACGUCAACACGUUAUAUUAGCUCGCACCCUCCCUCUCAGAGUGUGGAGGCCACUGCAAAUUAAUUCCUUCAUUCUGGCUAUAAUAAGGAUCCAAUCUAUUCCCAAUUAUUUGAUCUGAUAAAUAUGGCCAUUCCCUACGGAAUGACAUAUUUUGUUUUCUCUUAUCUUCUGGAUACAGCAUAUUUUUGGACUUGUUGGGGCGGGGCGAAAUUAUGAAAUACACUUGUAACAGUGUGAGCAUACAUAAGUCUGGAUGCUAACGAUGGUAGCCUUAUCUCUUAUGUGUUCUGAAAACUCGGAGCUCAUAGGGACGGACAAAUAGUUAUGGGUAUAUCGACUCGGCUUUGACACUGAUCCAAUUGGUCUUUUUAUUCGGUUAUCUGAUAGAAAUGGCUAUUUUCUACCGAAUUGCGUUUUUACUUUUCCCUUAACUUAACUUAACUUUUUUCGCUCUUCUGUAGCGGCGAAAGGGGGCGGGCCGAGUACUAAUAUAAGAAAAACCCUUGUAUCAGUGUGAUAUAACAGCAGUCUGCAGGAAAAAUUUGGUGCCUCUAGCUCUUAUAGUCUCUGAGAACUAGCCGACAAACUGAGACAGCUAUUGAUGCUUAUCAAGAAUGUAUAUACUUAAUGGGGUCGGAAACGUUUUCUUCUGUGCGUUACAUAUGUACAUCCACUUUUGUUCAUAAAUAUUUACUCUUCGAUUGCCGGGUAUAAAAACAAUAAACUGUGUAUGUAGCAUAAAAGCAGCAUCAUAGAAUCAGUGUAAUAAACAAACAUUAACAAAAGAACAUGCUUAGAUACACGUAUUUUCAAGAUUCCUUAUAUUUAUUUUAUUUUAGGCUGCUUUGGAAUACGCACUGCUAAAUGGACUGUUCAUUAUUAUUCACUGUGAUUUCGUUAAACACUACGUUGAAAAACACGAGCCAAAAUAUUCAAAGUAUAUACUUAAAUAAUAUAAAAAUUCAUAUGAUUUGUAGAAAACCAGGUUAAUAAAUGAAAUAGAUAAAGUUAAAAAAUUAUGUUUUUAUUUAUUAGAUGACAUCGACAUCGACAAUUGUGGUAUUGUUAUAUUUACAAUGUAAUCAAAACACAUUGCUUCUGCAUUAUUGUUAGAUAGUUAUAUUGUUGGGCUACUAAGCUUUUUCAGUAUCCUAGUUUUGCGAGAAUAUUAACGAGAUGAUUGUGGGUCAGUUUAUAUCGUGCUUAUAGCUGAUAAUAGUAUGUACUGCGAUACAUGCUGACGUCGAGAGUUGGUUGGUUGGUAGCUGUGAGGAUAUUGUCCGACGAUGCAAUCUCCAGUUGAUUCGUGUCUUGGAAUCCAUCUUCUGUGGCAGCAUAUAGGCACGCGUAUGUCAGUUGAGUGCAUCCAAAAUCUCCCGGUGCCUUGUUGAGCACAAUAAUCUCCGUAAUGUGUGCUUGAAAAAAUAUAUGUUUAUUAUUGAAACGCAGCAAUCGAACCGAAUAAAAGGCCGCAUCUGAGAGACUGGAGCGAAGAUGUUGAAACUUCUCGAUUUCAUUGAGAUCUGCAUCAGUAAGCUAACCAUUAUGAUUGUAUGAUUUUCAAAAUGGUUUGGUAGGGUGGUGGAAUGAGCAGCUACGCGCAAGUGGCCUAGUUCGAGAGCUGCCAGGAACUCAGCUUUAAACCAGAUGAAAAGCGUAUCACAGGUCUCGCAGCACUCAAGCUGUCGAUUUAUUGCACGAGAAUUAUUCUCUAAGCCUCAGCCAUUUAUCAACCAUCGCAAUAUUUCCGGCCGCGACUGUAUUCGGAUCUUUGUCCAUGCUACCACUAAGCAAACAAAACAAAAAGUAGAACAAAAAUAUCCUGUGUCCCUUAUAUGUUUACCUGGUACUCAAAGAGCAACGAUUAGGAACGUGUGAGAGGCCUCUUACGCCUCACAACUUUAUACCCGGUACUUAGUCGGUAUGUCC